GAGUUUGAUCGUGGCUCAGAGCGAACGCUGGCGGCGUGCCUAACACAUGCAAGUCGAACGUGAAAAGGGGCAACCCUGAGUAAAGUGGCGUACGGGUGAGUAACGCGUAGGUAAUCUACCCUAGAGUCUGGAAUAACCGGCCGAAAGGCUGGCUAAUACUGGAUAGAGCGAAGAACUCGUAAGAGGGUUUUUCGGGAAAGGGAGGGAGCAAUCCCCCUUGCUUUAGGAUGAGCCUGCGUCUCAUUAGCUAGUUGGUAGGGUAACGGCCUACCAAGGCUUGGAUGAGUAGCUGGUCUGAGAGGAUGAUCAGCCACACUGGAACUGAAACACGGUCCAGACUCCUACGGGAGGCAGCAGUGGGGAAUCUUGCGCAAUGGACGAAAGUCUGACGCAGCCACGCCGCGUGAGUGAAGAAGGCC
RNAcentral lists this ribosomal RNA (419 nucleotides) under uncultured delta proteobacterium. RNAcentral's name for it is "bacterial SSU rRNA". It matches the Rfam family "Bacterial small subunit ribosomal RNA", at positions 9 to 416 of the family's 1533-position model. Lineage: Bacteria; Deltaproteobacteria. The record is from RNAcentral.